UUCAUGUAAUGAAAAUGUUUCUGUGUUACAUGUCUCACAUUUCUCAUCUCACUGAAUGUAAAAUGAAUCUGAAACUUUAAAUGAGCACCCAUUUAAAUUUUCCCCCAAAAUACUUUCUGUUGACAAUAGGUUGUAUUGUUUCAAAUGGGAACCUAUAUUGUCUGAAACAAAUCAGAACAAAUGAGGAAGAUAUUAUUCCUAAUUUAAAGGUAUAAGCACAUUUGCUUAUAAGGAGACAUGUUGAUCUGUGUAUUUUUACACAGUGGAUCAGUGAUAUCGGUUAACAACAAAACUUGCUAACCAAUUUUUCAAUACUGAACUUAAGGCCCAGUUCUAAGCAAAACUAUGAAGAAAUAUGUUUACUUGUAGCAUAUCUCUGUGUGUGUGCGUGUGUGUGUGUGUGUGUGUGUGUAUCCCUUUUUUCUUAAAUACCUGCUGUCUCCUGUUGGUCCCUAUUGUCCUGAUACUCAGGAUCGAAGUACUAUAGCAUGCAUCCAUUGAGCUGUGUCUGUUGUGGUUGGGAUUCAUAUGACUGCUCAGUGACUGUGCUACAUGGGUCAUAAAAUAUUUUGAAAACCACCCCUGGUGAAUACUCUCUGAGUCAAGCCCCUCCUUUCAUGGGAAACUUUCCUGCCAGAACUCAGUGCCAGGGUUAUCUUUCAGGGUUAUCUGCUCCACUUUAGUUCUUACAGUCCUGGAGAAUCAUAUAAGGAUCAAGAUCUCUCUUUGCUUUGGUCAACAUAAAUCUCUGAGGUUUCACAAACGGCAGAUCAAGGGUUCUGCAGGAAGACCUGGCAUGCAUAGACACCUCUACAUUAGUGCAGUCAAGGAUCAGGAAACCCCUUUCUAAUUUGGGCAACACACAUAUGAAGAUGAGUCCACUGAGGAAGGAAAAAGUUAGCUUCACUUCACUAAGUUCCCACAUGGAUUAAGCAGCAGACCCCAGACCAAGACCAGAAUGCAAUCCACUCUUUGAUGAGAACAUACUUGGAUAUGACCUAUGCUAUUUUGAAUGAAAUUUAGCAAGGAAGAACUGUCCAUCAAUCAUUUUAACCAAGUUCACCUUUUGUUGCCAUUUAAGUUUUAUUUUGUCCCAGGAAAUUCAUAGUGAGUGAUUGUGAUUACAAUUUCCUCAUUUUCAUGCCUCUGACAUUCUUGUUGAAGAUGCUAAUCUUGUAUAAAGCUGUCUUUGGAGUUGAUGAUGCUGCCACUUCUCACUCCUAUGGGAAAUGGAGAGAUGUGGUGCAUAAAAUAGAAUAAAAUGUAUUAGAGCAAAAUAAAACCGCUAAUAAGAGUAAUCACUGUAAUAGAUUUUAAAAUCAUUUUAAAUUUAGUUCUAAUUACCUAAAUCCAUCUCAGAAUUACUACUGAUGUGAUGAGAAAUUCAUAAAUUCUGUGCAAAUUGAAAACAGAAAUUACAUUAUUAAAAUACUACUUUGCUACUCCAUCUCUAUAUUAUCAUAUAGGUAAAUUUAUGCAUGUAUACAUAAAUUAUACAUUUUUACAUAUAAACUUGAAUUUAUCAGAACUACUCAAUUUCAUCCUGGCUAAUAAUUUAGUAUUAUUAACCUCCAAUAUUCACAUCAAGAUAUAUUCUCCUCUCAAACAUGAUAAAACGAAAGCAUUCUAAGAUUAUACAGAGUGUGUUUUCUAAACAAAAUUUGCUUCUCGUUUUAGAAAGUUGAUGUCAUCAAGGCAUCACCAUCAAAUUUAACUUCUCUAUUUUUCUUUAGAUAAAAAUAGAUAAGAAAGCUUUCUAAGUGUGUCAGUCUAAGAAAAACUUUAAUUAGAAUCUCUGGCUGUUGCUUAGGUUGCCUUCUACAACUUAUUUCAGCUUGACAGUAGGCAGGAGACUUCCCCUUCAAUUUUAGGUCGAAGUCAGAAUAAAAAGUGCUUUAGAAAAAAAAAGAUAACUGUUUUCUGUUCUCCUAAUUCCCUUCUGCCCAUAGAAUGAAUCUAUGCAGGAUAUUUGCAAUAGCAUCUCAAACCCACCUGGCUCUCCCCGUAUUUCUCACUUGAAGACAUCAGAUGGCUGAUUCCACAGGAGCCUGUGGUUGGAUCAGAGUAGAAAACUGCAACCUGAGAAGAUUGAGGGAAACCUUGCAGAGCCCCUGGGGUAGUGGUCAGGUUGGAGGUUUCACAUACUCUAAACGAGGGUCGUCUCUAUUUUGCUGUUCAAAUCUGGUGGGCUUUCUUGCCAAUGAGUUUGCUAUGGGCUCAAAACAUUGUUAUUUUGCCUGAACAAUCUCUGUGGUUAAUGGUUGGUGUUAGAUACUGCAUGAACCUUGGGUUUGAAACUCAAGACAUACUCCUGUGGAUUCUCAAUUUUCCUUUUAGUUAAGAGCAGAAGACCUCCAAUUUAUCCAGACCUGUGGUUGAGCUGUCAAAAUGCCUGGUCUGAAAAUGGAUAGGCUUAUGGCCAGGAACUCGCUGACAAGGAAACCUAUAGUUGCAGGGCUCAAAACUUCUCAGAUGAUAGGAUAUGGGAAGAAGUCAAUGGGUUUAUUCAGAAGCUCAAGCUACAGAUAGAAAAUGCUAUCCACGAAGAGGUAGAUCAACCUCCUAACUGAUGUCAUUGUCUCCACUGGAGUAAUUGUCCUCAAAUGCAGUAUCAAUCACGCUACUCCCUUGCUCAAGAUAUUCAGUAACCAGACCCACUCUUACUAUGUUGCAGGGCGUAGGGCAAGAGUACAGAUGGAUACCCACAACAUGGCGGUAAAUCUAUACAAACUAUAAAUCAAUAUAACAAACUGAUAAACAGACUAUGUCCCCCUUCUGUGAAAAAUGUGCCUCCAUACUGAAAAAAUUUCAACAUAUAUGUAAAGCUAUCGUUGUUGCAUGAAUGUGGCUAGGGACAAAGUAAAAACAACUAAACUGUAUUAUUGUACAUUUCUGAGUAUUCUUUGUAGAGCCUGAUGAUGUUAGAAUGAAAAGUAAGUCACAAAAAUGUAUUGAUUAUUAUAUAUUCUACAAUACCCAUUUUAGAAAAAUUACUAAUUAUGUUGUAUUGAAGAUUUGUAUAUAAUUAAUGUUCUAGAGAUAAUAAUGACCUAAAGGAUUAAAAGUAUUCAAAGUAUACAAAAGUGGAAUAUAUUUUCAUUGAAGAUGUAAAUUAAAUGUA
Molecule: non-coding RNA, 3121 nt
Organism: Chlorocebus sabaeus (green monkey)
Lineage: Eukaryota; Metazoa; Chordata; Mammalia; Primates; Cercopithecidae
Source: RefSeq, a predicted model, not a curated record